UACGGAGGGUGCAAGCGUUAUCCGGAUUCACUGGGUUUAAAGGGAGCGUAGGUGGGGUGGUAAGUCAGUGGUGAAAUCUCCGGGCUUAACUCGGAAACUGCCGUUGAUACUAUCAUUCUUGAAUAUCGUGGAGGUAAGCGGAAUAUGUCAUGUAGCGGUGGAAUGCUUAGAUAUGACAUAGAGCACCGAUAGCGAAGGCAGCUUGCUACACAAUUAUUGACACUGAGGCUCGAAAGCGUGGGGAUCAAACAGG
RNAcentral lists this ribosomal RNA (253 nucleotides) under uncultured bacterium. Its description in RNAcentral is "partial 16S ribosomal RNA". It matches the Rfam family "Bacterial small subunit ribosomal RNA", at positions 524 to 776 of the family's 1533-position model. The record is from RNAcentral.